RNAcentral lists this transfer RNA (72 nucleotides) under Heterocephalus glaber (naked mole-rat). It matches the Rfam family "tRNA". From Rfam's summary of the family: Transfer RNA (tRNA) molecules are approximately 80 nucleotides in length. Their secondary structure includes four short double-helical elements and three loops (D, anti-codon, and T loops). The record is from Rfam by way of RNAcentral. Lineage: Eukaryota; Metazoa; Chordata; Mammalia; Rodentia; Bathyergidae.
GAGGAUGUAGCUUAGUGGUAGAGUGGUUGCCUAGCAUAUAGGAUGCCCUGCGUUUGAUUCCCAGCAUCAUUA